GUGGGGAAUCUUGCGCAAUGGGCGAAAGCCUGACGCAGCCAUGCCGCGUGGAUGAUGAAGGUCUUAGGAUUGUAAAAUCCUUUCACCGGUGAAGAUAAUGACUGUAGCCGGAGAAGAAGCCCCGGCUAACUUCGUGCCAGCAGCCGCGGUAAUACGAAGGGGGCUAGCGUUGCUCGGAUUUACUGGGCGUAAAGGGCGCGUAGGCGGACAUUUAAGUCAGGGGUGAAAUCCCGGGGCUCAACCUCGGAACUGCCUUUGAUACUGGGUGUCUUGAGUAUGAGAGAGGUGUGUGGAACUCCGAGUGUAGAGGUGAAGUUCGUAGAUAUUCGGAAGAACACCAGUGGCGAAGGCGACACACUGGCUCAUUACUGACGCUGAGGCGCGAAAGCGUGGGGAGCAAACAGGAUUAGAUACCCCGGUAGUCC
RNAcentral lists this ribosomal RNA (425 nucleotides) under uncultured bacterium. Its description in RNAcentral is "partial 16S ribosomal RNA". It matches the Rfam family "Bacterial small subunit ribosomal RNA", at positions 354 to 796 of the family's 1533-position model. The record is from RNAcentral.